CUAACCCUUACUACGUAGCCUUCCUCCCCCUCUGCUUCGUCAAGGUACAAACCCUAACCCUUACUACGUAGCCUUCCUCCCCCUCUGCUUCGUCAAGGUACAAACCCUAACCCUUACUACGUAGCCUUCCUCCCCCUCUGCUUCGUCAAGGUACAAACCCUAACCCUUACUACGUAGCCUUCCUCCCCCUCUGCUUCGUCAAGGUACAAACCCUAACCCUUACUACAUAGCCUUCCUCUCUGCUUCGUCAAGGUACAAACCCUAACCCUUACUACAUAGCCUUCCUCUCUGCUUCGUCAAGGUACAAACCCUAACCCUUACUACAUAGCCUUCCUCUCUGCUUCAUCAAGGUACAAACCCUAACCCUUACUACGUAGCCUUCCUCCCUGCUUCGUCAAGGUACAAACCCUAACCCUUACUACAUAGCCUUCCUCCCUGCUUCAUCAAGGUACAAACCCUAACCCUUACUACGUAGCCUUCCUCCCUGCUUCAUCAAGGUACAAACCCUAACCCUUACUACGUAGCCUUCCUCCCUGCUUCAUCAAGGUACAAACCCUAACCCUUACUACGUAGCCUUCCUCCCUGCUUCAUCAAGGUACAAACCCUAACCCUUACUACGUAGCCUUCCUCCCUGCUUCAUCAAGGUACAAACCCUAACCCUUACUACGUAGCCUUCCUCCCUGCUUCAUCAAGGUACAAACCCUAACCCUUACUACGUAGCCUUCCUCCCUGCUUCAUCAAGGUACAAACCCUAACCCUUACUACGUAGCCUUCCUCCCUGCUUCAUCAAGGUACAAACCCUAACCCUUACUACGUAGCCUUCCUCCCUGCUUCAUCAAGGUACAAACCCUAACCCUUACUACGUAGCCUUCCUCCCUGCUUCAUCAAGGUACAAACCCUAACCCUUACUACGUAGCCUUCCUCUCUGCUUCAUCAAGGUACGUCACACUUCCUCUCCCUCUCCUUCCUCCACUCUUUCCCUCCCUCUAGCAGUUUGCUGCUUUCCUUCUCCUCC
Oncorhynchus keta (chum salmon) is the source of this 1015-nucleotide long non-coding RNA. RefSeq lists it as uncharacterized. NCBI's taxonomy places the organism in Eukaryota, Metazoa, Chordata, Actinopteri, Salmoniformes, Salmonidae. The record is from RefSeq and is a predicted model, not a curated record. The transcript has 6 exons.